This 1633-nucleotide long non-coding RNA is filed under the name Musa acuminata (dwarf banana). RNAcentral's name for it is "long non-coding RNA (MACU_LNC000346)". Lineage: Eukaryota; Viridiplantae; Streptophyta; Magnoliopsida; Zingiberales; Musaceae. The record is from RNAcentral.
CUUCCGUUGAUGGAUGACAACAACGAGAUGAUGAUCAUCGCUUUCGACGCUGCAUAGAUGAUGGCUUCAGUCACGAUUUAAGAGAGCGACUCGAUCAUCCCUGCCAUCGGUCGACAGCCCGAGACCUUCGAUCAAAAGGAACUCCUCCUGAUUUCAACGGUCUCUUGGGACGCUGCGAUGAUUCGAGUUCCUUAGCGUGUGCUACCAUGGAGGACGGAGCCCACUUUGUGCUCCCGUGAGUGGGAAACCGCCAAUCAUGUCCCGAGACUGUGAGCCCAGAAAACUCGGACUCCACCAACGGUGACAGAUGCACGCGUGCGUUCCAGCGAGGUGUGAGCGGAGAAAGAAACGCAUCGUGAAGGCAACUCGGUGGAUCCUGGGAGGGACCAUCACAGGCACGUCGAUGUCACUCUGACGCAGUGCUGAGCCAACAAGUAAUGGCCACAGGUGAACUCUUCGAAGGCGACGACGUGGCAAACGACGGUGUGGGUCAUUGGUGGAUGUCUCGGAGCGCUGAGUGCUGAGCCAACCAGUGCUGGCCAGGUGAACUUUUCGACGGCGACGUCGUGGGCAACCUCGGUGAGGGUCACUGGGACGUCUCUGAGCCCAACUCAGGCCUCCAUCUAUAACGGGUUCUGUUCCCAAGAAAUCCUCAGCUACUCGAUGGCAUUUGGUACGCCAAAGGCCCGUUCGAUUUCGGCCGAGGCUGACCAAACUCGGCUUGUUCUUCUCGUCUCCUCUUCCUUGUCUCUAUCAUCAUCGUCAUCAUCAUCAUCAUCAUCUCUCUAUACGCAUAAGGGGGAGAAAGAAGGAUUAUACAUUUCUGAUUCCUAACCUUGAACCGAUUUGACAGGGAAAGAAGAUUGAACACGGAAGACCUCAUUGAUCUGUCAAAAUCUUAUCACAGUCCAAAUCUAACGUAGAUUGGAAACCACUGCGUAGACUAAACCUCCAUGUCAAAGCUAUUUCUUUAAAAUGCACAUCCGUGUACUAACUAGAUUGAGGAUUUGAUGUGAAAAUUUCUGGUGUCAUGCGGGAAAUUCUUGGGCAAGGCAAGUGGUGUUGGAUGGAGACAAGCUGUAGUGGUGGACUCCUUACGCCAUGGAACUAUUCUCAAUGGCAGCUUCAUGUGUCAAUUGUUGAGCUUUGCACGCUGUUCCUCCCACAGUUGGAUGAUGGUGACAUUCUAACGCGUCAGUCCUUUCAACUAUGUGACCUACCGGAAGACCAAGGCCACAAUCCAAACUAAAACCAUGCACGGAAGACCCACACAAGCCCCACCACUGUUUGCUUAAGGCCACUGGGGUAAAGAAUGAGUUGGUCAUCGUCUUCCUGGGCCAUUGAUUUGAUUGCUUGAACUAAAAAGCUAAACGCACACACUAUUUCUUGGAUGUGUUUUGCGUCUAGCAACAGUUCUCAUGCAUGCCGUGCUUGUGGGUCACUAAUUGGUGGACUUAUCAGAGGUUUGGAUUUGAUGCAUCGUUUGCCGCAUGGCAUCCACACUGCCAUUGGAAUAUUAACAUGCAACACAUCAAGCAUCAGAACUCUUGCUUCAAACUCUAGUGGAUUCUUUUGGAUCGGCCUGCAAUUGCCGGCUUUUGAUUUAUCUUUUACCCCUCUCGCAACAUCAUAG